UUUAAAGUGUAAUGUAAGUCGCUUUGGAUAAAAGCGUCUGCCAAAUGACCUGUA
Molecule: non-coding RNA, 54 nt
Organism: Gasterosteus aculeatus (three-spined stickleback)
Lineage: Eukaryota; Metazoa; Chordata; Actinopteri; Perciformes; Gasterosteidae
Source: Rfam